UGUAGAGAGGCCUGGUCAUCCAUGAUUCUGUAUUCUGUUAUAGAGAGGCCUGGUCAUCCAUGAUUCUGUAGUCUGUUAUAGAGAGGCCUGGUCAUCCAUGUUCACUGCUAUCCUAUUCCAACAGCCAGGGAAUGAAAACAGCGUGUCUGUCCAUCAAAUGAUGGAUUUCAACCAGAGCAAAGCAGCACUCUCCCUAAUGCAGAGGAAGGCCUGUUAGAACACAGGCAGAAAUGGGGGCUGGCAGAGAAGAGGAACCUGAUCCAGGCCCCAAGAUGGUAACACUUUGGGGACCUCAUCUCGGGAUGUUUUCUGAGGACCAUCAGCUCAUCGAGGACAGUGUAAACCAAGGCAAAGCACUGAAGGCAUAGGAAGGCAAACAGCUGUCUGAGUCCAGUCAUCUCAAGAACAACUUCUCCGUCUUGCUGCCAGGGUCAAGCAAGUUCACGAUCCCAGGCCCAGGAACCAACUCCUAUCCUGAUUAAUGGAAACUCCCUUGUUCAACCCUUUAUGUCAAAAUAUGAUUGGACAAUGCUACAGCCCACCCAGCUCCCCCUCUCUUUAUGGUUUCAUCCCUUAAAUAUGCUGUGCAACGUCCCUUCAGGGUCAUAGUUUAGAUCCUGAUUCUGUUCUGUGGUCCCGAUCAAUCGGUAGCAGUUUGAUUAAAAUACACUUUUGUCAUCUGCA
Rattus norvegicus (Norway rat) is the source of this 684-nucleotide long non-coding RNA. RefSeq lists it as uncharacterized. The record is from RefSeq and is a predicted model, not a curated record. Lineage: Eukaryota; Metazoa; Chordata; Mammalia; Rodentia; Muridae.